GUCUUUAUGUUUAUUUAUAAAGUCUGGCCUGCCCACUGAAUUUUAAAGGGCCGCGGUAUUUUGACCGUGCAAAGGUAGCAUAAUCAUUAGUCUUUUAAUUGAAGGCUUGAAUGAAUGGUUGGACAAAAAAUAGACUGUCUCAACCAAAUAAAUUGAACUUAACUUUUAAGUAAAAAGGCUUAAAUAAUUUAAAGUGACGAUAAGACCCUAUAAAACUUGAUAAAUAAUAUUAAAAAUGAGCAUUAGUUAGCUAAAUCUUUUUUUGUAAAGUUUAUUUUAUUGGGGCGAUAAAAAUAUAAAUAGUAACUGUUUUUAAAAUUUUAAUGGUAGUAAACAAAAAUAUUAAAUGAUCCUUUAAUAAAGAUUAUAAGAUUAAGUUACUUUAGGGAUAACAGCGUAAUUUUCUUUGAGAGUUCAUAUCUACAAGAAAGAUUACGACCUCGAUGUUGAAUUAAAAAAUCUUCAAGGUGUAGCAGCUUUGAAAGAAGGUCUGUUCGACCUUUAAAAUUUU
This 511-nucleotide ribosomal RNA is filed under the name Euphausia tenera. RNAcentral's name for it is "partial 16S ribosomal RNA". It matches the Rfam family "Bacterial large subunit ribosomal RNA", at positions 1830 to 2597 of the family's 2925-position model. The record is from RNAcentral. Lineage: Eukaryota; Metazoa; Arthropoda; Malacostraca; Euphausiacea; Euphausiidae.